This 871-nucleotide long non-coding RNA is filed under the name Vulpes vulpes (red fox). RNAcentral's name for it is "lncRNA (ENSVVUG00000020918.1)". The record is from RNAcentral. Lineage: Eukaryota; Metazoa; Chordata; Mammalia; Carnivora; Canidae.
UAUUUGGGGGAGAGUGCGUAGCUAGAAGAGGCUCUGCACUGAGAUCAGUGAUUGGCAUAGUGUAGGAAUUGUGCCUGUCAAUGUGAUCUGAGAAUAGACAGGAAAACUAUCCCUUAAAAAUUAAUGACAAGGAUAAAGAGGAAUGAUACAGUCCUCCAAUGAAGUCUGAAGAAAUGGGUGGAAAUUAAUUCCUAGUGGCCAACAGUAAAGCAAAUAAAUUGCUUUUUUUCACACUUAUGGCUUGGAAAAUAAAAUUCAAAUCCUCAAACUCCCAGUUGCCAAAAUGAAUAACAAUAAUUAUAGGAAGCUUGCUACAUAAUGGUCAUUUUAAUUACCAUGUUUUUGCUUCUGUGAUAUAAUUAGUUGUUUCUUAUUUUUUAUUUUUUAUUUUUUUUUGAAAAAUUUGAAGGAGAGAUUUUCCAGCUGGCUUUAGGUCUUGUGUAUUCUAAUGAGUAUGAUUAUACAUUCCCAGCAACAAUGUUCAGAAUCCAAGGAAGUAAGGAGGAUUAGACCCUGAACAUCUUGUAUCUCAAGAGUGUCCGAUGACAAGUUUGCUAAAGCCAGUUCCACAGGCCUUUUUCAGUGAUUGAGCCAGUGGAGGACAAAAUAAACUCCGAUCUCCUUUUGUCAUUGGCAGAGAUGACUGGCCGUGCUGAAAGUUGUGCUCUCCCGGGACACGGAUAUGGGAACCUGGCUUUGGUUAAUUGAGGGCAGCUUCUUCCAGGAGAAACCACAGACAUACAGAGGCAACAUCAAAUCUCAGCAAGUGUGCCCAAGUGUUGGGAUACCUUCAAGGGUUCCUUAGGCAUUCUCACUGCCAGAACCAGGUAGGCCUCCUCAGAUGGUACUCAAAUAUGCAGAGAAAGUAAAU